CAGAAGCAUGGGAUUAAGACUGGAAAGGGGGAUCUUGUCCCCUUCCCAAUUAUUUAAUGGUGGGAAACAAGUGCAGCCAGCACUCUGGGAUUUUUCCACCCACUACCAUAAAACGUACCCAGUUCUGGACGUUCCCUCUUCCCAUCUCAGAUGCUCCAGAGGAUGUGGGGAAGGAGCCGUGCAUCCGGUCAGGAAUGCCAGGGCAUUUGGGAAAAGCGGAGCAGGUGUAGAUGAUGUGGAAAAAGCAGGAUCAUAGCAGCCUCAGCCCUGUUUUGCGGGAAAGCCAGCCCUGAGAGCAGUGACGAAGCACUGCAGGAGCUAUUGGGGAGCUGAAGAGGAUGGAUAAGGAUCCAGCAGCCAGCAUUCCAUCACCAACACUGCUCCUGGCCCCUCUUCCCACAGCCAAGCCCGAGUGGAUGGAGCAGAACCCACAAGCAGGGACAUGCAGCAGCUCAUCCUGGCGAGCCCAUCUUGCUUCACCCCCUGGGCUGGGCUGCCUUGGGAUCGGGAUUGGGCUCCUCUGGGGCAUUACUGCAUCGACUCGGGUUGCAACACCCCAAGGUUAUUUUUCAUUGAUUUGAGGCCGCCGCUGAUUUGCCUGGUCCAGGCCACCCCCCCGCCCGCGCAGCCUUUUCUCGUCUGAGUGAGCGAAAUGCUCACCGCAGAGAGAGUUUCCAGAAAUGAUUCAGCCCUUCCCUUCGAGAGACACGGGAGGUGAAAAGGGGAAAAUUACCCUGCG
Long non-coding RNA from Zonotrichia leucophrys gambelii, 739 nucleotides. RefSeq lists it as uncharacterized. The transcript has 3 exons. The record is from RefSeq and is a predicted model, not a curated record. NCBI's taxonomy places the organism in Eukaryota, Metazoa, Chordata, Aves, Passeriformes, Passerellidae.